GAUAACAUAAUUGUUGGAUUACUUAACGGAAAUUGCAACACAUGUAGUUGCACUAAACAAAUCACUCCUCGUAAAAGGUUCAUCGAAUCUUGUCCCAUCUCCUUCUCAAUCGUCCCUUCUCCCUUCAUCUCUUUUCUCCAAAUUCUAAGGUCACACUUACACAUAUACUUGGUUUGUUUCCAUUUCAUGUUUUCAUUUAUAUAUGUAUAUGCACGAUUUCCCUUCAUUUAUGUGUGUAACUAUUCGCUAGCUGCUUCAAUUGAAACCCAUUUAGGAAUUUUUUUAGUUUCAAUUAGUUUUACUCAGAUCCCAUUGUAGCCCAUUUUCAUCACAAUUAACAAUGUUUUGGGUUCUGGGACUUCAUUAUUUUUGUCUAAGUGGUUAAGAUUCAAUUCAAGUUUAAAUUUUUAUAAACUUUGCUUUAUACUUUCGAUUUUGGGUUUUUAUUGAUGUGAUGUGAGCUAAUAAUUGAUUUGAUGUAGAGGAUUGAGAGGAGAGUUUUCAGGACACUAGGAUUUGUGAAUAUUGCUAUAUUGGGGGAUAUAAUAAGUGAAACAAAAGAAACAACAACCAAUGACGACUACACCUUACGCGGUGAGGUCGGCUAAAGUCGAGUAAGUGAAAAAAGGAAAGAAAUAAACAAUUAAGGAGUGGAAAAAUGAAUGAUAAAUAAGCGUGAAGUAAUUGAUAUUGCGAAUGUAGUUUAACAUGUAGUCAGAAGAAACAAAAGGCAAUGAUGAAUGGUUUGUUUGUGAUUAUUUUUGCUCCAAUAGAUGUAGCUAAACUUUGAUGAUCUGGUUGGGUCUAUUAUGGUUUUAAGUCUAAAUUGCAAGCUAGGCAAUCAAUCAUUGAAUUAAUUUUUGGUUCAUCAACCACUAAACCUGAUGCUUUUCAGAAACCCUUGAUAUUAGUUAUUAACCUCUUGAGUCUUGAACAUUUAUCUCCGUUCUCUCUGUCUUUAUUUAUUGUUGAUACUUCAAAACCAUAUGAAAGCAGCUUAUAUAUGUUGAUGGUGGCUAUAAAAAUUAUUUGAAAUGCUCCUGCAUGAAUUCCAGAAUAAACUAAUCUUUGGUUAUAUAUUGACGAAAGGGCGUUGCUAACUAGUGCCUUAUUGAGUCAAUGAUAAGAUAUUAUUGGAAGGUUCUUUAUGCCAUUAUAUGGGGAGUUCAAUAGGAACCUUCCAUCAUUUAAUUUCUUUACUAAGACUAGCAAGCAUUUUUGUAUUUAGAAAAUGUAGAAGACGAAGAAUAUGCUUAAAAUCUCUGUAUUUCUUGCUAAUAGUCCUUUGGACAUAUCUUAAUAAGUAAUGUAUUUAUUGCUAAUAGUCCUUUGGACCGUAGUUACACGGUUCACUCAUUUAUCUUGUGCACCUUUUACCGAAUUCAGUGUACUGCGUAUUGAGUUUGUCAUAAAGGAAGUCUUGUAAUAGUAACAAACUGUGUACCAUUUAACUAUGCUUUGGACAUAUCUUAAUCAGUAAUGUCUUGCCAGUAAGUUUACACUUUUAGUGGAUCAUCUUAUUUUCGUCAUCAUCAUGUACUAAGCUUGUAUCUUAGGGUUUAUACUCUAUGAUAGGAAUGCUUAUAUAUCUGGUGCUCCGUAUUCAAUUCAUCUCAAACUUUUGAUGCAUGUUGGUUAAUUAUAAUGUUCUUUCUUCCCAUAAUUUACAUUAUAUGUCCUGCACUCUAGGUACUGGCUUGAAUUUGGUGCUCUUUGUUUACUAGUACUCGAGUCUUAAUUUUGGCGUAAACUGCAGCUUAAGACCACAAUGAGUCUGGCAUGUCUUGUGUGUCAUAGUGUGGAUUCUCCAUCACCUUCACACUCGUUCAGGAGUUACUCUGUUUCAAGUGCAGAGAAUCAAGGAAGAUGUCAUGCUAUUACAGCUUGCUUAAACAAGAAAGUAUCUCUCCCGCCACCUACAAUUAACUCUUCUAUAGCAUCAUCGUCAUCCAAAGUCACCCCCCAGCCAUGCAUUUCGAGUAACGGCGGGAUACCGGGUGCGCCUAGGCUUGUGCGAAGUCGUGCAGUGACAAGGGACCGAGUAAGAAAUUGGAACUUUGAUGAAGUUGUAAUGGAGCCCUAGAUGAAAAAUGAGAUAGGAUAUCACCAUGGAGUUUUCUUGUGGGAUAGUUUAGAUAUGCUUAUAUUUUCUAGUCUUGUGGAAAGAAGAAAAGAAGGAUUGCAGUAGAAGAUGAAGUUGAAGUCGAGGAGAAGAGAAUUGUAUUAAGAGAGAGUAGUCUAUCAAUGAAUAUUCAGUGCAUUAGAAUUGUAUUGUAUAAUCCUUCAAUGAUUACAAACUAAUAUACAACUUUCCAAAAACAACUUCAACCAACUUAC
Molecule: long non-coding RNA, 2337 nt
Filed under: Lupinus angustifolius (narrow-leaved blue lupine)
Lineage: Eukaryota; Viridiplantae; Streptophyta; Magnoliopsida; Fabales; Fabaceae
Description: long non-coding RNA (LANG_LNC001894)
Source: RNAcentral